This is a long non-coding RNA of Capsella rubella, 427 nucleotides long. RefSeq lists it as uncharacterized. The transcript is spliced from 2 exons. The record is from RefSeq and is a predicted model, not a curated record. Lineage: Eukaryota; Viridiplantae; Streptophyta; Magnoliopsida; Brassicales; Brassicaceae.
UGAGAAGCCGGAGAGUCUCCGGUUAGUUGUUUGCUGGAGUGUUUUCCAAUACGCUGAUCAUUCAGCCUCUGUUUCCCAAACUUUCUUCAUUUUCCCAUACGUAACAAAUUUCAAUACAUUUCUUAUUAACAGCUUCUUCGAUCUUGUGAAAACAUUGUAUCGCAUUCUUCAGAAUUUGCAAAAGCUACUCAGCCUACUAAACUACGUGUUGGAUACCUUUGAGAGUGAGAUGGUGCUUCGUAGCAAAUUGUCUCGUGGUCUCAAUAUCUUUAAUCUAUUUGUUGAGUUGGUAAUUAUCUUUGAAAGAAUGGUCAAAGCUAAAUAUGCUUUAAUGAUCUAGUUUAUAAUGAUCUAGUAUCUCGUUUGUAUUAUUUGUUUUUGUUUUUAAGUCAUUUUAUGAAUAAUAAAUUUAAUAUUGCAGCAGCUA